GGAUUGAACGCUGGCGGCAGGCCUAACACAUGCAAGUCGAGCGGUAGAGAGGUGCUUGCAUCUCUUGAGAGCGGCGGACGGGUGAGUAAUGCCUAGGAAUCUGCCUAGUGGUGGGGGAUAACGUUCGGAAACGGACGCUAAUACCGCAUACGUCCUACGGGAGAAAGCGGGGGACCUUCGGGCCUCGCGCCAUUAGAUGAGCCUAGGUCGGAUUAGCUAGUUGGUGAGGUAAUGGCUCACCAAGGCGACGAUCCGUAACUGGUCUGAGAGGAUGAUCAGUCACACUGGAACUGAGACACGGUCCAGACUCCUACGGGAGCAGCAGUGGGGAAUAUGGACAAUGGGCGAAAGCCUGAUCCAGCCACGCCGCGUGUGUGAA
This 379-nucleotide ribosomal RNA is filed under the name uncultured soil bacterium. Its description in RNAcentral is "bacterial SSU rRNA". It matches the Rfam family "Bacterial small subunit ribosomal RNA", at positions 27 to 409 of the family's 1533-position model. The record is from RNAcentral.